This 901-nucleotide ribosomal RNA is filed under the name Candidatus Pacearchaeota archaeon. RNAcentral describes it as "bacterial SSU rRNA". It matches the Rfam family "Archaeal small subunit ribosomal RNA", at positions 1 to 914 of the family's 1478-position model. Lineage: Archaea; Nanobdellati. The record is from RNAcentral.
AUUCCAGUUUAUCCUGCUGGCGGCUACGGCUAUCUGGUUUGUACUUAGACAUGCAAGUCUCUCGAGAGAGGGCGAACUGCUCAGUAACACGUAGCUAACUUGCCUUAAGGCCAGGGAUAACCUCGGGAAACUGAGGAUAAUACCUGAUAGAAGAAAUUUACUGGAAUGUGAUUUCUUUGAAACAUCAGGCCUUAAGAUAGGGCUGCGGCUGAUUAGGUUGUUGGCGGGGUAAUGGCCCACCAAGCCAAUGAUCAGUAAGGGCUCUUAGCGGAGAGGCCCUGAGAAGGAAUCUGAGACACUAUUCCUAGCCUUACGGGGUGCAGCAGUUAAGAAUCUUUUGCAAUGCGCGCAAGCGUGACAGAGCGAGCCAGAGUGAUUCUCAAUUUUGAGAAUCUUUUGCCAAAUGUAAAUAGUUUGGCGAAUAAGGACCGGGAAAGACUGGUGCCAGCCGCCGCGGUAAUCCCAGCGGUUCAAGUCGUAGCCACAAUUAUUGGGUCUAAAACAUCUGUAGCUUGCUUUGCAAGUCUCUUGUGAAAUCCUAUAUCUUAAAUAUAGGGCGUGCAGGAGAUACUGUAUUGCUAGAGACUGGGAGGCGUAAGGAGUACAAAUUGGGUAGCGGUAAAAUGCGUUGAUCCUAUUUGGACUAACGAUAGCGAAGGCACCUUACGAGAACAGUUCUGACAGUGAGAGAUGAAGGCUAGGGUCGCGAAAGGGAUUAGAUACCCCUGUAGUCCUAGCAGUAAACACUGCACACUAAACAUCGGUAUCUCCUCGAGAGACAUCGGUGCUGAAGGGAAGCCGUAGAGUGUGCUACCUGGGAAGUAUAGUCGCAAGACCGAAACUUAAAGGAAUUGGCGGGGGGGCACUACAACGGGUGACGCGUGCGGUUCAAUUAGAUUCU